AUUAACCUAGUUUAACAAAGAAAACUACCCUGUGCCAGAUUUUCUGGGUUGUUCUCAGCAUCUCAGUUACCAAGGUGACUGUUUCCUGUACGAUUGCUAAUGCUUUAUAAUCUCGAUCGUGAUAUCUAAGUGACUUCCUCUUCUCUGUCAGGAGAUGUAAGAUCUGCUCUUGCCCUGGGCUCCUCUGAACCCCCUUCCGAAGCGCGGAGGAUUCAGGUCCUGGUGCUGUGCCGGCCGCUCUGCUCCGCUGCCGCCGCGGGCCCGGCUGCCGCGGCUGCGUCCCCAUG
RNAcentral lists this long non-coding RNA (287 nucleotides) under Dromaius novaehollandiae (emu). RNAcentral's name for it is "lncRNA (ENSDNVG00000008431.1)". Lineage: Eukaryota; Metazoa; Chordata; Aves; Casuariiformes; Dromaiidae. The record is from RNAcentral.